Molecule: long non-coding RNA, 2708 nt
Organism: Globicephala melas (long-finned pilot whale)
Lineage: Eukaryota; Metazoa; Chordata; Mammalia; Artiodactyla; Delphinidae
Source: RefSeq, a predicted model, not a curated record
ACGGGGUGUAGUGAUGGAGGCCGCGGGAGGAGCAGGCUAUGGGUCGGGGGACAGUGGGGACACGGAGAACAAGGGUGUAGGGACGCGUGAUGGGGAGACACUAGGAGCUUGGGGAACGUGAGGGGAAGGAUGCGGGCAGCCUGGGCUUGCAGUUGGAGUAAGCCUCCUGCCAAGAAUGCGGCCAGGAGGAAUGGGGCUCAGACAACGUGGGAAGAAGAAAAAGGAAGUUUGGGGGAGAGACAUAGUGGGGCUGGCUGCUUCGGGGAGACGGGAACAUGCAGCACCGGCGGACUCCAUGAGCAUGGGCCCACUGAUGCAGUUUACCUGCCGUGAGGGAGACACCAGAGACCUCGCGCGCUCUCCACGCACACCCCAAGGAAAGCCCGUGUGCACACGGAGGUGGCAGCCACCUGCAGCCAGGAAGAGGGUCUCACCAGAUGCUGACCACACUGGCUCCCUGAUCUUGGACUUCUAGCCUCCAGGGCUGCAAGGAAACAAAUGUUUGUUUAUGAACAAAUUGGACUUACGAACGUGCUCUCGGAACGGGACUCUUUCGUGUGGAGCAGACUUACUGUAUGGGUUUGAAGGAUGAAGACGAUAGAGGUAAAAGACCCUUUUCAUCACACCGUGUCCAGGGUACAUAGUAUCAACGUAAUUUAUGGCUGUUGACGCUGGCUGUGAUCACCUGGCCGAGGUGUGCUUGUCAGGCUUCUCUGCUGUAAAAUUACUCCCCCUCCCCCUUCCAUCGUGUGCUUUCGGGGAGGAGGUCCCUAUGCACAGCCUGCACUUAAGGGUGGGGGGAGUCCAGCUCUCCCCGCUGUGGGGUGGAGUGUUCACAGAACUUAUCUGGAAUUCUCAGCAUGGGAGAUUUGCCUCUUCUCCAUUUAUGAAUUUGUUCCAUCAUGUAUGUCAGUGUGAUCACAUGGAUACGUAUUUUAUGCUUUGGGUUAUGGUACAAUAUUACUUUGUUGAUUUUGUUUCUCAAGUUAUUCCAGCUCUGGCUGCUGGGAACUCUGUCAGUUGGCUCCUGUGUCCCUUUGACUCACCCCAUCUUCGUGUUUUUUGUUUUGUUUUUUUUGAGCACCUCCUUACCUUCCGGCUACAAGAUGCUCCAGGCUCAUCCUGUAUAUUUCUAGUUCCAGUCCUAGGGUCAGCCAUUUCUUCAAGGAAUUCUGGUUCCUUCCUUUUGUUAGAGAAUGGUCUUAGAAACCCAGAUCUGGGAGAUAGAUGUGUUCAUUGCUGCUGCGGUCUUGUUUCUUUGUGCCCCCUCAGCAGACAAAGCAAAGAAAUAUACGUGCGUGCCAACCUUGCAUACACACACGUUACAAAUAUUCCUGUGUGUAACCACCUGUCUCUACAUUAAACGAACGUGAGUUCUCACUGACGUCUCCAACCAGCAUCUGUUAUCCACGGAUCAUUCUCCCCUUGGUCGCCUGUAACCUCCCACUCCUCCGGGGUGAGAAUCCCGGCCCCCACCAUCCGUGUACUUUCCUGUUCAGUCCCAGCGCACGUGUACAGCAGGGACACAUGGGAAACAACUUCACCACGAGAGCCCAGUGCUGUGUGCACACCCUUUGGCUUCAGGCCUACAGAGCCCACUCGUUUCCAGAGUGACUGAGGUCAGCACCUUUCAUCCGGCCCCUCUGUGAGGGGGCUUCACACACUGUAAGGCAGGUACAUUCUCCUGUCACAGUCUGCAUUCCUUCCUGGGGUUAUUUGUUUUCUUAUCACUGAGUUUUAAGAGUUCCUUGUUUAUUUUGGACACAAUCCUAUAUUGAAUAUAUAUUUUGGAAAUAUUUUCUCCUAAUCUAUGGCUUGUCUUUUCAUUGUCUUUACAGUAUAUUUAGCAGAGCAGAAUUUAAAAAUUUUAAUAAAGUCCAACUAAUCAAUUUUUUUCUUUCAGGGGCUGUGCUUAUGUUGUUGUAGCUAAAAAAUCAUCACCAAAUCCAAGCUCACCUAGAUUUUCUCUUAUGUUAUCUUCUAGAAGAUUUAUAGUUUUGGUCUAUGAUAAAUUUUUAGUUAAUUCUUGUGAAAAGUGUAGGAUCUGUGUCUAGAGUCAUUUUUUGGCCUAUAGAUGUCCGCUUGUUCCAGGAAGUUUGUUGAGAAGCCUAUCUCUCUCCGUCAUAUUGCCUUUGCUCAUUUGUCAAAGAUCUGUUGACUGUAUUUGUAUGGAUCUAUUUCCGGACUCUAUUCUGUUCCAUUGAUCUAUUUAUCUCGUCUUUUGCCAAAACCAGGCUGUCUCAAUUACUGCAGCUUUGUAAUAAGUCACAUAGCAUCACUCCUCCAACUUUGUCAUUCCUUUCAGCAUGAUGUUGGCUAGUCUGGAUUUUUGCCUUUUCCUAUAAUCUUUAGAAUCAGUUUGUCAAUAUCAACAAAAUAACUUGCUGGGAUUUUGACUGGGAUUGCAUUGAAUCUAUAGGUCAAGUUGGGAAGAAAUGACAUCUUAACAAUACUGAGUUCCUAUCAGUGAACAUGGAAUAUCUCUUCCUUAUUUAGAUCUUUGAUUUCAUUCAUCAAAGUUUUGUAGUUUUCCUUAUGUGGAUCCUGUACAUAUUUUUUUCUUUUAGAUUUAUACCUAAGUAUUUAAUUUUCUAGGGUGCUAAUGUAAAUGGUACUGUGCUUUGAAUGUCAAAUUUCCAUUGUUCAAUGUAAAAUAGAUAGCUAGUGGGAAGCAGUCGCAUAGCACAGGGAGAUCAGCUCGGUGUUUU